Puccinia triticina 1-1 BBBD Race 1 is the source of this 106-nucleotide transfer RNA. It matches the Rfam family "tRNA". From Rfam's summary of the family: Transfer RNA (tRNA) molecules are approximately 80 nucleotides in length. Their secondary structure includes four short double-helical elements and three loops (D, anti-codon, and T loops). The record is from Rfam. Lineage: Eukaryota; Fungi; Basidiomycota; Pucciniomycetes; Pucciniales; Pucciniaceae.
GACAACGUGGCCGAGCGGUUAAGGCGAUUGACUAGAAUCAUCUAAGACUGACGGGUCUAUUAUCAAUUGGAGUUUCUCCGCGUAGGUUCAAAUCCUGCCGUUGUCG